UUGGCACUUAGACACCAACAUGAUCUCAGAUGGCUGACUAGAUCCCAGGCAUUCACGUGGCCCUUGGUGGUAAUAGGAGCCAUGGACAUCAACUGAGACCCUGACUGCUGUAGGGACGGACUCAGGCAUGGCAGUAGCUCAGUUUUCCCUAUGAAGGAAGAGUCACUGAAGCAGACAGAUGAGUGCAGAAGACUCUAAGCACUGAAGCAAAUUGGGUUGGUGGUCUAUGAAUUGAAGUGUUUGAAUGCAAGAAGAAAAUAUGACCGUGGUGAAUAAAAAUCAAGAAGAAAAAGAUAGCGGCAUAUUCACAUGACUAGUUUAGUAGAUUAGAUGCCACUGCCUUAAAUUAGAUAUGCAAAGAGGAUAACAAUGAGAACAAAAAGAGUUAAAAGCACCUUCCAGAGAUGUGGAUGGAAGCCUGAAACUGGGGUUGGGGAAAGAAAAGGACAAGACCCCGAUGAUACCAAGACUUCACACCUGGGCCUGUCUCUUAAAGGUUCUACCAUCUUUCAAUACUGUCUCCUGGGACUCUAACACAUGGAGAGAAACUAGAUCCAUACUGCAGCAAAUCCCAAUUGCAUAGUCUGAACUGUCUUUCGCCCAUCCACUAAUGGACACUGGUGGUUUUUCUCAGCCUGUUCAGGUUUGUACAGUGUGAUGUCAUUGAGAAGUACAGAAAGACUAUUGUAUCAAGACAGAGGCUGCCUCAAAAAGAGUCGUGGACGGGACAGAAGAAAUUGGAACGAUGCCUGAAAGACUGGAGGAAAUUUGGAAUGCUGUUUUUCAAGUCCCGUAGUAAUGAAAGUUUGGAAAAAUCCUUUGUAAAAUUAACCAUCACCUGAAAGACACACAUUUAGUUGGCCACAGAAGGUUCUCACGAAGGCUUGAACUAUACAAGGCCACCACUGUUCUGGGUCCUGACUCCUGACAGAAUUUACUUAAAAGGCAAAACACUGAUUUUACCAGGAGAUGCUUUGGCCGACUUCUCGCUUUUCUCCACCAUGGGAACACAAUGGAUGUCUACAAAUAUCUUUUGUUUAAAGGGAUGUAUACACUUAUGGAUAAUUAAUAAAAGACAUGGAGGUGGCCAAAUGCUCUACAAAGUGUAGAACCACUCAACAGAGACUUAGAGAUCUCAAAUGUCAACAGUGCUGAGUUGAAGAAAUGAUGUCUAUCCUCCUACUGAACAGCUGCAGCACACCCAAAGGUCAACUAAAGCCUUUUGAAAGCACUGGUGCUUCUCUGCUCUAAAAUGAAUGAUGCUCAUCAUUUAUAAAUAGCAUCAGAUGUAUCUAUGCAAGAGAGGAAAAUAUCUACUUUGGGUGUGCUCAGUAAGAAUUCAAGUGAAUGAGAAACUUUUUGAACCAAGGCACCUUUCAAAUUUCUCCUUCCUAUUCACAAAAUUAUCAGCUAAUUU
This is a long non-coding RNA of Mesocricetus auratus (golden hamster), 1417 nucleotides long. RefSeq lists it as uncharacterized. Lineage: Eukaryota; Metazoa; Chordata; Mammalia; Rodentia; Cricetidae. The transcript has 5 exons. The record is from RefSeq and is a predicted model, not a curated record.